This 995-nucleotide ribosomal RNA is filed under the name Prevotella denticola. RNAcentral's name for it is "bacterial SSU rRNA". It matches the Rfam family "Bacterial small subunit ribosomal RNA", at positions 28 to 1011 of the family's 1533-position model. The record is from RNAcentral. Lineage: Bacteria; Pseudomonadati; Bacteroidota; Bacteroidia; Bacteroidales; Prevotellaceae.
GAUGAACGCUGGCUACAGGCUUAACACAUGCAAGUCGAGGGGAAACGGCAUUGAGUGCUUGCACUGAAUGGACGUCGACCGGCGCACGGGUGAGUAACGCGUAUCCAACCUUCCCGUUACUGCGGGAUAACCUGCCGAAAGGCAGACUAAUACCGCAUGUUCUUCGAUGACGGCAUCAGAUUCGAAGCAAAGACUCGUCGGUAACGGAGGGGGAUGCGUCUGAUUAGCUAGUUGGCGGGGCGACGGCCCACCAAGGCGACGAUCAGUAGGGGUUCUGAGAGGAAGGUCCCCCACAUUGGAACUGAGACACGGUCCAAACUCCUACGGGAGGCAGCAGUGAGGAAUAUUGGUCAAUGGGCGGAAGCCUGAACCAGCCAAGUAGCGUGCAGGACGACGGCCCUAUGGGUUGUAAACUGCUUUUAUGCGGGGAUAAAGUGAGGGACGCGUCCCUUUUUGCAGGUACCGCAUGAAUAAGGACCGGCUAAUUCCGUGCCAGCAGCCGCGGUAAUACGGAAGGUCCGGGCGUUAUCCGGAUUUAUUGGGUUUAAAGGGAGCGUAGGCCGGGGAUUAAGUGUGUUGUGAAAUGUAGGCGCCCAACGUCUGACUUGCAGCGCAUACUGGUUCCCUUGAGUACGCGCAACGCCGGCGGAAUUCGUCGUGUAGCGGCGAAAUGCUUAGAUAUGACGAAGAACCCCGAUUGCGAAGGCAGCCGGCGGGAGCGCAACUGACGCUGAAGCUCGAAGGUGCGGGUAUCGAACAGGAUUAGAUACCCUGGUAGUCCGCACGGUAAACGAUGGAUGCCCGCUGUCGGCGCCUUGCGCCGGCGGCCAAGCGAAAGCGUUAAGCAUCCCACCUGGGGAGUACGCCGGCAACGGUGAAACUCAAAGGAAUUGACGGGGGCCCGCACAAGCGGAGGAACAUGUGGUUUAAUUCGAUGAUACGCGAGGAAACCUUACCCGGGGCUGAAAUUGCAGGAGAACGAUACAGAGAUGUUG